GGCUGACUUAAAUACAAACUCAAUAUAAAAGUUCUUUGAAAACACUUUGGUCUGUUUUAUUGUAACUUUUUUCAAAAACUGUAUAUUAUUACUUGUAUUUUUUUUAACCAGACUGGAUAACAAAUAGGUCUAUACUUCUGUAAUGUAAUAUGCAGAAUAAAUCUCAACAAUCAAUCAACAGGCUAUAAUAAAACUCUUAAAUUUUAAGUAGACUGUGUAAAUCUUUCAGAUAUUUAAAUUUUAAAGCAAAUAUAAGGAGCUGUGAUGGUGUGGUGAUCAGAUGACAGGCGAUGGGGAUUCUUCAGCUGGAUGUUCUGCAGCAGCCAGGAAACAGGAAGUCUGGGAUCUCAGGAGAGCCUCUAGAUGAUAACUGUAAUUGAAUACUUACACUGAGUGACAAAAAAGGGUUUGUCCUUAAAUAAUAAUAGUAUAAACUUGUAGUCAAAUGUUAUAACCAAUGAAACAGACUUGAAAAAUGUAUUUGAAUCAAAUUUAAUAUUUAUGUGAAUAUAACAGUCUGAAUUACAAAAUAACCAAAUUAUCUUACUACAAAUAUAUCUCAAAAAAGGUGUAUAUAAGUUUAUAUAAUUUAUCAAAUUGCACUUGUAAGCCAAACUAUCAGUGCUUAUUUCAAAGUGUAAUGCAAAAUUAAAAUGACAAAUGUAGGGCUCUGUAAGUAGUUUCUACAGUGAGUUCUACUGUACUGUAAUUCUAUUACUGUAUAUUCAACUUUUUACUAGUAAUUUCCAGCAAAAUGAGUGGAUAUGAAAGUUUAACGACAGGAAAGAAGGAGCAGUGAGAGCGGAGAUCUCUCCGAAUUCUGAAAACAGAUCGAUGAAGUUGCGGUAACUUCAAUUCCAAAAACUUGGGUUUCUCAAACUUGGGUUUCUCAAACUUGGGUUUCUCAAACUUGGGUUUCUCAAACUUGGGUUCAAGCUUGUCAAAUUAGAUAGAGCUCAUGGCGGAGAAAUGAUAGAAGAUAGAAUGGCUUGUCAAAAAAGAUGGAGCAGGGAGAGGGAGAGUGAUAGGACAGACUGAAUUGCUUGUUAAUGAUAGAGGGAGAGGGUUUUCUGCAGCAGGUCACCUGUAAGACAGAAAGAAAGUGGAAUUAGACACACUUCCAAUAAACCUGGCUUUACCGUAUUUUUCAGACUAUAAGGCACAUUUAAAAGCCUUUAAUUUUCUCAAAAAUAGACAGUGCACCUUAUAUAUGGUUGCGCUUACUGACUUCAAACCAAUUCUAUGUGGUACACGGCACUCAAAAAUCUGUCAAAUGUUUUAGUAUGUCUUUGGUAAGCUACAAAGCAGCACCACUUGAUGUAUUGUCGGAGCAUGGCUACCAUAGUCAGCACCCUCGUAGAGUAAUUCGUACUGUGCUUCAACAUAAUAUGGUGUGUGUGUAUAAGGGCCUGGCACCUGUUGAGAGCCAUGCUUAUGAAGCAGAUUUCAAACUGAUCAAUCCACAUUCAUCAAUCCACAAAUCCUGAAAAGUGAGUGUAUUGUUCUGUAUUUUAUGUCUUACAACUGAACAAUUUUGAGAGUUACUGUAAAUGAGUUGAAUAAAGUUUGGCUUAUCUGUUUUGUUUGGCUUAAUGUGCCUUAGAAUUUAGUGCGCCUUACAGUCCGAAAAAUACAGAACAUAUAUAUCAUUACACACUGAAGAGUUGUACAGUACAUUAUUAGAUUCAACUGAAUGAAAAUGUUUAACAUAUGGUGGUGGAACAUUUCUGAGGACAUUUUUGCAUUCUAUUAACACAAUAAAAACAGAGUCUGUAAACCAAGAUGUGGUGCUACAGUAACUUACUGUAAACAUUAUAUGGUCAAGCUAAACCCACACAAUGAAGACAGUUUCAGACCACCUGCUUUAAACACUUCACAUGAACUCAACUCAAACUUAUGACACAUCACAUGUUCCUAAAUGCCCAAAGGUCUCAAAUUCCCAUUUCUGUGUGUACUUACCUGGUACAACAGUAUAUCAUAAUGUCUGGGGAGCCGUUAACAUAAAAGUAAAAAAUAAUUUACUCAGUAUGACUUUUGGCAAAAUGAAAAAUUUGGAGACAGAUGACUCCUAUACAGCAGUUUCUACAUAUUUCAGUCAAAUAUGGGGCAUGUUUAAUACACACUCCGCUAAAUCUACAAUAUAAUUAGCAUGGCCGAUAUUAGGGCCUAAUUAAAAAUGUAGUAUGAUGAUAACAGAGAUCUGUAAGUCUGGAAAUGUUUACAUAGACUAUUCUAUUAUUUGAUUGCCAAGAGCUGUGCUGACUCACAGCACUGAAUCUCCUAUAAUGAGAAAACAUUUCCCAGCACUUCACCUCAGACAAACCUUUACUUACCAGACUUGAGACGAUCAGAUCAGCAGUCUAGAGAAAGGAAACAAUACAUCAGAUCACUGUUUGAUGAUUCAGACUGUUGAGGCUCUUCACACACAAUCCAAUUUACU
Molecule: long non-coding RNA, 2440 nt
Organism: Oreochromis aureus
Lineage: Eukaryota; Metazoa; Chordata; Actinopteri; Cichliformes; Cichlidae
Source: Ensembl